RNAcentral lists this ribosomal RNA (319 nucleotides) under uncultured eukaryote. RNAcentral describes it as "partial 18S ribosomal RNA". It matches the Rfam family "Eukaryotic small subunit ribosomal RNA", at positions 1470 to 1796 of the family's 1831-position model. The record is from RNAcentral.
CCCUUAGAUGUUCUGGGCUGCACGCGUGCUACAAUGGCGUUUCCAGCAAGUCUGCGAACCCGAGAGGGCCAGCGGAUCUUCGAAUUGGCGUCGUGAUCGGGACAGUCGAUUGCAAUUAUUUGACUCAAACGAGGAAUUCCUUGUAAUCGCGAUUCAUCAUAUCGCGCUGAAUACGUCCCUGCCCUUUGUACACACCGCCCGUCGCUCCUACCGAUUGAGCGAUCCGGUAAAUGUUUUGGAUUGGUGCCGGGGCGGCUAGCUGCCGGUCGCUACGAAAUUUUGUGAACCUUAUCGUUUAGAGGAAGGAAAAGUCGUAACA